ACACGGUGUAAGUCGCAUCCCAUUAGGCACGCACAUUACGAGCAUUUCGAAAUGUA
Non-coding RNA from Caenorhabditis elegans, 56 nucleotides. Lineage: Eukaryota; Metazoa; Nematoda; Chromadorea; Rhabditida; Rhabditidae. The record is from Ensembl.